Molecule: transfer RNA, 74 nt
Filed under: Candidatus Roizmanbacteria bacterium CG_4_10_14_0_2_um_filter_36_35
Lineage: Bacteria; Candidatus Roizmaniibacteriota
Also listed under: 4 other names
Description: tRNA-Val
Rfam family: tRNA
About the family: Transfer RNA (tRNA) molecules are approximately 80 nucleotides in length. Their secondary structure includes four short double-helical elements and three loops (D, anti-codon, and T loops).
Source: RNAcentral
GGACUCGUAGCUCAGCGGUUUAGAGCAUCUGAUUUACAUUCAGAGGGUCAGAGGUUCAAAUCCUCUCGAGUCCA